This 468-nucleotide ribosomal RNA is filed under the name uncultured bacterium. RNAcentral describes it as "partial 16S ribosomal RNA". It matches the Rfam family "Bacterial small subunit ribosomal RNA", at positions 28 to 507 of the family's 1533-position model. The record is from RNAcentral.
GACGAACGCUGGCGGCGUGCUUAACACAUGCAAGUCGAACGGAAAGGCCCUGCUUUUGUGGGGUGCUCGAGUGGCGAACGGGUGAGUAACACGUGAGUAACCUGCCCUUGACUUUGGGAUAACUUCAGGAAACUGGGGCUAAUACCGGAUAGGAGCUCCUGCUGCAUGGUGGGGGUUGGAAAGUUUCGGCGGUUGGGGAUGGACUCGCGGCUUAUCAGCUUGUUGGUGGGGUAGUGGCUUACCAAGGCUUUGACGGGUAGCCGGCCUGAGAGGGUGACCGGCCACAUUGGGACUGAGGUACGGCCCAGAAUCCUACGGGAGGCAGCAGUGGGGAAUAUUGCACAAUGGGCGGAAGCCUGAUGCAGCAACGCCGCGUGCGGGAUGACGGCCUUCGGGUUGUAAACCGCUUUCGCCUGUGACGAAGAGUGAGUGACGGUAAUGGGUAAAGAAGCACCGGCUAACUACGUG